Molecule: non-coding RNA, 760 nt
Organism: Myotis daubentonii (Daubenton's bat)
Lineage: Eukaryota; Metazoa; Chordata; Mammalia; Chiroptera; Vespertilionidae
Source: the annotation of a RefSeq genome assembly
CCCCUGCUCAUGAAAGCCUGCCAGGCUGGGUCCCUGCAGACUCUGGAGAGGAGCCUUCCUGUGUGAGCCUCUCAGUGUCCACACCAUGGGGUCUGCGCUCAUCUGGGCUGCCCUUCUCUUCGCUGUCAAAGGUGGCCUGUGCCAAGUUCAGCUGGUGGAGUCUGGGGGAGGCGUGGUGCCGCCCGGGGGGUCUCUGAGCCUCUCUUGCAAAGCCUCUGGAUUCACCUUCACUGACUACAUCAUGGACUGGGUCCGCCAGGCUCCAGGGAAGGGGCUGCAGUGGGUGGCAAGAGUGAGUAAACCAACUGGAAAGGAUCAGUGGUAUGCUCCAGCAGUUCAAGGAAGAUUCACAAUCUCCAGGGACAACCCCACGAGCACAGUCUCUCUUAAAAUGACCAAGCUGACAUCUGAGGACAUGGCCGUGUAUUACUGUACAAGACACAGUGAAGGGAAGUCAUUGGAAGAGCAUGUCUUUUUCUUUGAAUCUCUAAGUUCUCACAUCGUCGCUGGGACCCAAAGGAGAAGGAGCACUGUGUUUGCAGAAGUGCUCACAGCACAGCCCCUCACCAUGGACUGGAGCUGGAGAACCCUCCUCCUGGUGGCUGUGGCUACAGAUGAGACCACUCUUCUCGACUGGGAGUGGUUGCUGGUGCAGCUGGUGCAGUCUGGGGCUGAUGUGAAGGAGCCUGGAGCCUCCGUGAAGGUCCCCUGCAAGGCUUCUGGAUACACCUUCACCAGCUACUGGAUGCAAUGGGUGUGA